GUAGGGAAUAUUGGGCAAUGGAUGCAAGUCUGACCCAGCCAUCCCGCGUGCCGGAAGAAGGCCCUCAGGGUUGUAAACGGCUUUUGACGGUGAAGAAUCGACAGGAUGCGUCCUGUUUUGACGGUAGCCGUUGAAUAAGCACCGGCUAACUCCGUGCCAGCAGCCGCGGUAAUACGGAGGGUGCGAGCGUUGUCCGGAUUUAUUGGGUUUAAAGGGUGCGUAGGAUGGAAGGUCAGUCAGCGGUGAAAAGCUGUCGCUUAACGAUAGUCUUGCCGCAGAUACUUCCUUUCUUGGAUGAGGAGGAGGCCACUGGAACGGAUGGUGUAGCGGUGAAAUGCAUAGAUAUCAUCCAGAACACCGAUUGCGAAGGCAGGUGGCUGUACCUUAAUCGACGCUGAUGCACGAAAGCAUGGGGAGCAAACAGGAUUAGAAACCCUUGUAGUCC
Molecule: ribosomal RNA, 445 nt
Filed under: uncultured bacterium
Lineage: Bacteria
Description: bacterial SSU rRNA
Rfam family: Bacterial small subunit ribosomal RNA
Source: RNAcentral